Long non-coding RNA from Ornithodoros turicata, 378 nucleotides. RefSeq lists it as uncharacterized. The transcript is spliced from 2 exons. Lineage: Eukaryota; Metazoa; Arthropoda; Arachnida; Ixodida; Argasidae. The record is from RefSeq and is a predicted model, not a curated record.
GCGAGUUUUAAUGCGUUAACAUUAGAAGCGUCACGAAGAAGAAGUGUAUACAAUGGAGUGCGAACGAUGUGCGAGUGCUGGGCCAAGUAGGCGACAAAGGAAAACAGAAUGCGAUCGACGGCGACGGCCUGCCGACACUGAAGAGCAACGAUGCAGAGCUCCGCCAGACCCUGGACUAUGUGCAGAUUAUAUCGAAAGAUACUUUUACAACUGCUCUUCCGGGCAAUGUGAAAGAUUCUUCUACAGCGGCUGCAAGGGAAACUGCAACAACUUUGAGACCUACGAAGACUGCGCAAGAAUAUGUACUCGCAUGUAGCCUUAGCACGAAAAGCACGCAUGCACUUCGUAUCAAGAAUAAAACACACUAUGUUUCUUUAA